This 253-nucleotide ribosomal RNA is filed under the name uncultured bacterium. Its description in RNAcentral is "partial 16S ribosomal RNA". It matches the Rfam family "Bacterial small subunit ribosomal RNA", at positions 524 to 776 of the family's 1533-position model. The record is from RNAcentral.
UACAGAGGGUGCAAGCGUUGUCCGGAAUCACUGGGCGUAAAGGGCGCGUAGGUGGCCCGACAAGUCGCUGGUGAAAGCUCGACGCUCAACGUCGAGUCGGCCAGUGAUACUGUUGGGCUGGAGCACUGUAGAGGCUCAUGGAAUUCCGGGUGUAGCGGUGGAAUGCGUAGAGAUCCGGAAGAACACCGGUGGCGAAGGCGGUGAGCUGGGCAGUUGCUGACACUGAGGCGCGACAGCGUGGGGAGCAAACAGG